Molecule: long non-coding RNA, 395 nt
Organism: Dendrobium catenatum
Lineage: Eukaryota; Viridiplantae; Streptophyta; Magnoliopsida; Asparagales; Orchidaceae
Exons: 3
Source: RefSeq, a predicted model, not a curated record
UUCCGGCGAAAGUUUUAGGUCAAAUCGAAGAGGACGACGAGAGGAACACUCAGGUUGUGAUCUUUAAAGUGUAUGGUGGAAGACUUGUGUCGAAGCGACGUGUCGUACUUGGUUUGAGGAGAUAAGUGAUGGCUGCUCGACGACCUUAUACGUAUCGUCGUAGGGGACCUCUGGAUGAAAGGUUCCAUUUUAUGAUUUAAGUUUGAGUCUUUGAAUUUUAAUUAUGUGAUGUUUGUGAGUUGAGUUUGUAUGUGUGUAAUGAACAGUAAGUGAAGUUUAUGUAAUGUUGAUGGAUUAAAAAGUUUUAGCAAUUGUAUGUGUUGAACAGUUGAAACACUUGAGUUUGAUAUUGUUUAGUGGCUCUUUCAUGUAUUUUGAGAUGAUAUUUAUGUUCU